AGAUUAAACUUGGAGUCGACUCGUUUGAACGGUUCGUCUCAAUGAACCGUUACGAUACGUAAUUUUUAGCUUGCUGUUAAAUUUUUGCAGAAAAAUAAAUAUUUACACAAAAGGCUACAAGAUGGGCCUCUGCCUCCAAUGUUCUGACUAAAGUCCUCUUGAGAAACUGUACAGUGGUCCAGCAGAAUGAAGAAAAGUUGAGAUGUUAUCUAUUCGGCGAGGUGUGACAAAUGGACUCUACAUAGACACCUCAUAUUGCCGUGCAUCCUGAAAGAUAAACAAAUUAUUACAGGACCACAGACUUGUGAUCGCUUGCCUGUCAGAACAGUGUAAAGCUGUAUGGGUGUACUUGAAACACAUGAACAAAGCAUUGUAUCAUAAUGUUAGUUAUGGCAAGGUCUCAUAAAUGUCAUUUCUAAUGUGCAAACAAAUGCAAGUCCUUGUCAUUUAAAUAAAAAAUGAUAAAAA
Molecule: non-coding RNA, 468 nt
Organism: Misgurnus anguillicaudatus (oriental weatherfish)
Lineage: Eukaryota; Metazoa; Chordata; Actinopteri; Cypriniformes; Cobitidae
Source: RefSeq, a predicted model, not a curated record